RNAcentral lists this ribosomal RNA (497 nucleotides) under uncultured bacterium. Its description in RNAcentral is "partial 16S ribosomal RNA". It matches the Rfam family "Bacterial small subunit ribosomal RNA", at positions 28 to 507 of the family's 1533-position model. The record is from RNAcentral.
GACGAACGCUGGCGGCGUGCCUAAUACAUGCAAGUUGAGCGCUGAAGGUUGGUACUUGUACCCACUGGAUGAGCAGCGAACGGGUGAGUAACGCGUGGGGAAUCUGCCUUUGAGCGGGGGACAACAUUUGGAAACGAAUGCUAAUACCGCAUAAAAACUUUAAACACAAGUUUUAAGUUUGAAAGAUGCAAUUGCAUCACUCAAAGAUGAUCCCGCGCUGUAUUAGCUAGUUGGUGAGGUAAAGGCUCACCAAGGGGAUGGUACCUAGCCGAGCUGGAAGGGUGGACCGCCACAUUGGGACUGGGACAAGGCCCAAAACCCCUCGGGGGGCAGCAGGAGGGAAUUUUCGGCAAAGGACGGAAGUCUGAACGAGGAACGCCGGGUGGGGGAAGAAGGUUUUCGGGUCGUAAAACUCUGUUGGUAGGGAAGAAAGUUGGUGAGAGUGGAAAGCUCAUCAAGUGACGGUAACUACCCAGAAAGGGACGGCUAACUACGUG